GUAGCUCAGUGGUAGAGCACUUGCUUAUCAUGCAUGAGGUCCUGGGUGCUAUCUCCAGC
RNAcentral lists this transfer RNA (59 nucleotides) under Heterocephalus glaber (naked mole-rat). It matches the Rfam family "tRNA", at positions 7 to 64 of the family's 71-position model. From Rfam's summary of the family: Transfer RNA (tRNA) molecules are approximately 80 nucleotides in length. Lineage: Eukaryota; Metazoa; Chordata; Mammalia; Rodentia; Bathyergidae. The record is from Rfam by way of RNAcentral.